RNAcentral lists this unclassified non-coding RNA (251 nucleotides) under uncultured fungus. Its description in RNAcentral is "partial contains 5.8S rRNA and ITS2". The record is from RNAcentral. Lineage: Eukaryota; Fungi.
AACGCACAUUCCGCACUUCGGUAUUCCGAAGGGCAUCCCUGUUCGAGCGUCAUUGCACCCCUCAAGCAUUGCUUGGUAUUGGGCUUCGCCCCUGUGGCGGGGCUGGAGUUCAGUAGCGGUCCAGCGAGACUUCAAGCGUAGCAAGAUUCCACGGUCCCGCUUUGGAAGGUUCCUGCUGCGUGCCGGCCAGAUAACCACAAUUGCUUUCAAUGAUUGACCGCGGAGCAGGUAGGGAUACCCGGUGAGCUUAA